UAUACAACGAAGAGUUUGAUCCUGGCUCAGGAUGAACGCUAGCGACAGGCCUAACACAUGCAAGUCGAGGGGCAGCACGGUGUAGCAAUACACGGGUGGCGACCGGCGCACGGGUGA
RNAcentral lists this ribosomal RNA (117 nucleotides) under Dysgonamonadaceae bacterium. RNAcentral's name for it is "partial 16S ribosomal RNA". It matches the Rfam family "Bacterial small subunit ribosomal RNA", at positions 1 to 109 of the family's 1533-position model. Lineage: Bacteria; Pseudomonadati; Bacteroidota; Bacteroidia; Bacteroidales; Dysgonomonadaceae. The record is from RNAcentral.